RNAcentral lists this ribosomal RNA (446 nucleotides) under uncultured bacterium. Its description in RNAcentral is "bacterial SSU rRNA". It matches the Rfam family "Bacterial small subunit ribosomal RNA", at positions 329 to 792 of the family's 1533-position model. The record is from RNAcentral.
GACCAGACUCCUACGGGAGGCAGCAGUGGGGAAUAUUGCACAAUGGGGGAAACCCUGAUGCAGCGACGCCGCGUGAGUGAAGAAGGAUUUCGGUAUGUAAAGCUCUAUCAGCAGGGAAGAAAAUGACGGUACCUGAUUAAGAAGCCCCGGCUAACUACGUGCCAGCAGACGCGGUAAUACGUAGGGGGCAAGCGUUAUCCGGAUUUACUGGGUGUAAAGGGAGCGUAGACGGUGAUGCAAGUCAGAAGUGAAAGCCCGGGGCUCAACUCCGGGACUGCUUUUGAAACUGUGCAGCUAGAGUGCAGGAGAGGUAAGUGGAAUUCCUAGUGUAGCGGUGAAAUGCGUAGAUAUUAGGAGGAACACCAGUGGCGAAGGCGGCUUACUGGACUGUAACUGACGUUGAGGCUCGAAAGCGUGGGGAGUAAACAGGAUUAGAUCCCCCAGUA